Molecule: ribosomal RNA, 195 nt
Filed under: uncultured bacterium
Lineage: Bacteria
Description: partial 16S ribosomal RNA
Rfam family: Bacterial small subunit ribosomal RNA
Source: RNAcentral
CCUACGGGAGGCAGCAGUGAGGAAUAUUGCGCAAUGGGCGAAAGCCUGACGCAGCAACGCCGUGUGAGGGAUGAAGGCUUUCGGGUCGUAAACCUCUGUCGGAAGGGAAGAACGGGCAUUGGUCUAAUAGGCCUUUGUUUUGACGGUACCUUUAGAGGAAGCACCGGCUAACUCCGUGCCAGCAGCCGCGGUAAU